UCAACUUUUUGCCUUUAUAGGGACAUGAAUACAGAUUGAUUUGAGACAUACAUACUUCUGAAUAAAAUAUGCAAAAAAAAGCAGUAUCAGUAGAAGUGCCAAGGCAAAUGUUUUUUUCCUAAUGGAAAUAUUUGCAUUUAUUUGAUUUGUAGAGUGGUAAACUGAUAAACUAGUAAGUGUAAUGCUAACUGAAUCCAAUGCCAUGCACCACAGUGAUUAUUAUGCAGUUAACUGCUUCAGCUAAGUGCCACUGUCGCUCAGUACUGUCAUUAAAAUUAACGGGUGGCUGCGCACUCAGAACUACCACCACUAAGCGUCCUCCUGAUUGUUCCUUUGACAUGGAAAAAGAAGCAUGCAGAUAUUAAUAUUUCUUAUCUAACAGGUCAUUUGCCUCUUGCCCUGAAGGAAAUGACACAUUAGGUAGAAGUAAUGCUCUAUGGUUUCACAAAGUAGAAGAUAAUUAUUGCAUAUGAAGACCUGUUAGAAACCAGAAGAAUUAGUUAUGAUACACAUACAUUAUCUCUGGUGGAGCUUCAAGUCAAACGGAGAUGAAUGCAGUUUUGACCUGACCUGAAAUCACAUUUGAGAAUUCUGAGUAGAUCUUUAACAAAGAAAAUUGCCUAAAUUCAGCAGCUUGCAAAAAUGAGAACAUAUCUUCAGUCUCAUCUCCAAAGCCAGAAAUGCCCGACACUUGUUUGGAGUCCUUGUCUUCUGUCUACUAUUUUAGGGGGUAACUGUUUUUCUGAAAAUUAAAUUGAAAAGAAGACACAUCAUAACAAAUUUAUGAGAAGAUACAUUAACACUAUAUCAGACUCAAUUUAUGAGGAGCAUGAAUUUGAGAAAGAUGUUGUCGUGGUUUAGCCCCAGCCUGCAGCUGAGCACCACGUGGCAGUUCGCUUGCCCCUGCCCUCAGUGGGAUGGAGAGGAGAAUCGGAAGAAAAAGGAAAGGAGGGUCUUCAGAUCAUGAAGGACCAUCAAAUAAACAUGAGCAUUUAGUAAGAUGAUGUAAUCUUCAUAUUUUAUGCAUCCAUGGAGAACUGAAUGGAAAUAUGAAGGAAGAACAGGAAAACGGGUAUUACUUUUGUAUAUGGCAUCAGCUGUUCUGUUACCAGAUUGCAAUGUCACUUUUUAUAUCACUGCUAUGAAAGAGACACUGUAAAAAAUUUUUGAAACGGCUCAGAAAACAACCACAAGAACGAUGUAUAAAUAUUGUCUUCAAAAAGAGCUGGGUUGGUUCAGUUUAUCCUAGAGGUAGUCGUCAUUUGGCGUGAUGCUGAGUGCUGAAGGAGAGCUCUGGCAAGAAGAGCAUCUUCCAUCUUGGGGUACGGUGCAAGCAGGAGCUAGAGGUUGGCCGGCAAGGUGGAUAUCACACAGACAGAGCCGGGGAAGCGCUGAGGAGAGAAAGGAGCCUUGUGAAGCUUUGCUGAAGUCUGAUGAAGUAAUGUAUUGUGUUGAUGAACGGGGUGCUUUAGUGUAGGCAGGUAGUGCAGAUAAAAUAAAUAUGGUUUUUUAGAAAUUAGAGUGUGAGGUCUUUUUAAUCUGUUUAACAAUACAGUUUAUCUUACUAGUCUAUAAACGUUAGGGACAGGAAUAUGUAAAUGUGUAACAGUACGUCCUGUUCAUAGGGAAAACGUUGCCUGUGGCUAAUCCUC
Long non-coding RNA from Grus americana (Whooping crane), 1652 nucleotides. RefSeq lists it as uncharacterized. The record is from RefSeq and is a predicted model, not a curated record. The transcript has 4 exons. NCBI's taxonomy places the organism in Eukaryota, Metazoa, Chordata, Aves, Gruiformes, Gruidae.